CUCCUUCUCCAGCUUGAAAAAAGCCAGUGUUCCUUUGUCAGAGAAAAUAGCUUAUUUUUAUGUCUUGUGUUGGUUGUUGGUCAGUGAAAGUUUUGUUGAUAUUAUUUUGUAGCCACUCCUUCAGAGGUAAGACCUGGGCGGACCACCCCCUGUAUUUUUGGUAUACUGUAUGUGACCAGAAUCCUUACUGGAGUUCUGUACACGUAACUUGUUCAGGUCAGUAUUUUUUUUUGAAUUACAUUUUUUUCAAUUGUAACUACCCAUUUACUUCCACUGCUAUUACUUCUACCUCAACGUAUCAUAUUGAGGUGUAAUGUUUCUACCUCAGCAUAAUAUUGAGGUAUUACGGUUAUACUUCAGUAUGAUAUUGAGCAACAACUGCUCUACCUCAGUAUGAUAUUGAGGUAUAAUGGCUCUACCUCAGUAUGAUAUUGAGGUAUAAUGGCUCUACCUCAGUAUGAUAUUGAGGUAUAAUGGCUCUACCUCAGUAUGAUAUUGAGGUAUAACUGCUCUACUUCGGUAUGAUAUAUAACGGCUCUACCGCAGAAUGAUAUUGAGGUAUAAUGGCUCUACCUCAGUAUGACAUUCUGGUAUAACGGCUCUACCUCAGUAAGAUAUUGAGGUAUAACAGCUUUACCUCAGAAGGAUAUUUAUCACGUUUAGACCCAGAUGCAGACAGUGUAGAAGUAACAAGAGUUUAUUAGAACCACAGUGGCAGGCAAAUGACAGGUCAAGGCAGGCAGGGGUCAGUAUUCCAGAAAGGGUGUAAAGGGUCCAGAAUGGCAGGCGGUCUCAGGGUCAGGGCAGGCAGGGGUCAAUAAUCCAGAACGGCGGGGUAAGGUACAAAACGGCAGGCAGUCUCAGGUUCAGGGCAGGCAGAAUGGUCAAAACCGGGACGGACUAGAAAGCAGGAGCAGGAAAACAGGCAGGAGCAGGGAAACAAACACUGGUAGGUUUUACGAACAAAACGAACUUGAGGUAUAAUGGCUCUACCUCAGUAUGAUAUUGAGGUUUAACAGCUCAACUUCAGUAUGAUAUUGAGGUAUAACUGCUCUUCCUCGGUAUGAUAUUGAGGUAUAAGGGCUCUACUUCAGUAUGAUAUUGAUGUAAAGCAGUUCUAAUUUUUUGCUGCCAUAUCUCUUGGCUCAGAGCCAGCUCACAGAGACCAGCUCCAGUAAUUCCACCUUAGACUUCUCCUUCUCCUCCUUGUCCUCCACCACUCUCUCUCUCCAGCGUCGACGCGACCAACAGCGGCCAGGUCUCUGCAUAUCAGAUGAUUAUUGGUUUAUUUUUGUUGUCUUUUUAACUUUAGCCUCUUCUAUUUUCUACACUGUUCCCUAUUUUUCUUCAAUCUGUUAUUGUUAAUCAGUCUCUUUCAGAAUUAUUUUGUGUAGUAUAUAAACAGUAUGUGUGUUUGCAUGUGUGUGUGCGUGAGCGUGCGUGCGUGCAUGCACGCCUGUGUUCCAGUGUGCAGGUGGUAAGGUGGUGGGGGUCAGGGAGGUGUGUGGGGUUUGCCUCCUCAGUGGAGGAGCCCUGAGCCUCUGUUUUCAGUGUCUACACACCUGCUGUCACAUCCCAAAGUUGGUCAGACUCCAAAAACUCAGGAGCAGAGCUCCUCUCUCUCAGAGACCAUCCUACACAAGUAUGAACUAGACUUCAUCGUGGGAGAGCAGGGCUCCAUAGAUGGGAUCCUCCAGUUGGCUUUCCACAAUAUUUCCAGGCCCCUCUCAGAUACUCAGGGCAACUUCCAAUGAAACACGCACGCACCUAAAAGCGCACACACACACACACACACAAGCAUUCUUGUGCACUCAUACACCAAGUUCUGGACAUUUGUUAUGGACAUUUGUCCGUCUCUCGCCAUCUCUGUCUCUCUCUCUCGCCAUCUCUGUCUCUGUCUCUCUCUCGCCAUCUCUGUCUCUCUCUCUCGCCAUCUCUGUCUCUCUCUCUCGCCAUCUCUGUCUCUCUGUCUCUCCGUCUCUUUGUCUCUCUCGUUGUCUCUCGUUGUCUCUCUCUGUCUCGUUG
RNAcentral lists this long non-coding RNA (2025 nucleotides) under Salmo salar (Atlantic salmon). Its description in RNAcentral is "lncRNA (ENSSSAG00000103969.1)". Lineage: Eukaryota; Metazoa; Chordata; Actinopteri; Salmoniformes; Salmonidae. The record is from RNAcentral.